CCGGCACGGGUGAGUAACACGUAUCCAACCUGCCGUCUACUCUUGGACAGCCUUCUGAAAGGAAGAUUAAUACAAGAUGGCAUCAUGAGUUCACAUGUUCACAUGAUUAAAGGUAUUCCGGUAGACGAUGGGGAUGCGUUCCAUUAGAUAGUAGGCGGGGUACGGCCCACCUAGUCUUCGAUGGAUAGGGGUUCUGAGAGGAAGGUCCCCCACAUUGGAACUGAGACACGGUCCAA
This 236-nucleotide ribosomal RNA is filed under the name uncultured bacterium. Its description in RNAcentral is "partial 16S ribosomal RNA". It matches the Rfam family "Bacterial small subunit ribosomal RNA", at positions 100 to 334 of the family's 1533-position model. The record is from RNAcentral.